GGAGCAAUGAAGGCCGAAUCAGACACU
Molecule: non-coding RNA, 27 nt
Filed under: Rattus norvegicus (Norway rat)
Lineage: Eukaryota; Metazoa; Chordata; Mammalia; Rodentia; Muridae
Source: RNAcentral